This 253-nucleotide ribosomal RNA is filed under the name uncultured bacterium. RNAcentral's name for it is "partial 16S ribosomal RNA". It matches the Rfam family "Bacterial small subunit ribosomal RNA", at positions 524 to 776 of the family's 1533-position model. The record is from RNAcentral.
UACAGAGGGGGCAAGCGUUAUUCGGAAUUAUUGGGCGUAAAGGGCGCGUAGGCGGCUUGGCAAGUGGAUGGUGAAAUCCCUCGGCUUAACCGAGGAACUGCCAUCCAGACUGCUUUGCUUGAGGCCGGGAGAGGUGAGUGGAAUUCCCAGUGUAGCGGUGAAAUGCGUAGAUAUUGGGAGGAACACCAGUGGCGAAGGCGGCUCACUGGACCGGUUCUGACGCUGAGGCGCGAAAGCCAGGGGAGCAAACGGG